This 1513-nucleotide ribosomal RNA is filed under the name Candidatus Dormiibacter inghamiae. RNAcentral's name for it is "bacterial SSU rRNA". It matches the Rfam family "Bacterial small subunit ribosomal RNA". Lineage: Bacteria; Bacillati; Candidatus Dormiibacterota; Candidatus Dormibacteria; Candidatus Dormibacterales; Candidatus Dormibacteraceae. The record is from RNAcentral.
UAGACGGAGAGUUUGAUCCUGGCUCAGGGUUAACGCUGGCGGCGCGCCUGAUACAUGCAAGUCGAGCGAGGGCUCAUUUCUCGCAAGAGAGAUGGGUUCCUAGCGGCGAACGGGUGAGUAACACGUGGGCAACCUUUCCCAAAGUGGGGGAUAACAUCGAGAAAUCGGUGCUAAUACCGCAUGUGGUCAUCGAAGACAUCUUCGAUGAGAAAAGCAGCAAUGCGCUUUGGGGUGGGCCCGCGGCCUAUCAGCUAGUUGGUGGGGUAACGGCCUACCAAGGCAUUGACGGGUAGCUGGUCUGAGAGGACGACCAGCCACACGGGGACUGAGACACGGCCCCGACUCCUACGGGAGGCAGCAGUAAGGAAUCUUCCGCAAUGGGCGAAAGCCUGACGGAGCGACGCCGCGUGUGGGAUGAAGUCUUUCGGGAUGUAAACCACUGUCGGAGGGGAAGAGAACGGACGGUACCCUCCAAGAAAGCCCCGGCUAACUACGUGCCAGCAGCCGCGGUAAUACGUAGGGGGCAAGCGUUACUCGGAUUUACUGGGCGUAAAGCGCGUGUAGGCGGCUGGUCAAGAGUGAUGUGAAAUCUCCGGGCUCAACCCGGAAACUGCAUCGCUAACUGGCCUGGCUAGAGUGCAGGAGAGGGCAGUGGAAUUCACGGUGUAGCGGUGGAAUGCGUAGAUAUCGUGAGGAACACCAGUGGCGAAGGCGACUGCCUGGCCUGUAACUGACGCUGAGACGCGAAAGCGUGGGGAGCGAACCGGAUUAGAUACCCGGGUAGUCCACGCCCUAAACGUUGCGAACUAGGUGUUGGCGAGAUUGACCUCGUCAGUGCCGCAGCUAACGCAUUAAGUUCGCCGCCUGGGAAGUACGGUCGCAAGAUUAAAACUCAAAGGAAUAGGCGGGGGCCCGCACAAGCAGCGGAGCGUGUGGUUUAAUUCGAUGCAACGCGAAGAACCUUACCUGGGUUUGACAUGUUUCAGUAACUCCGGCGAAAGCCGGGGCCCCUCGCAAGAGGCUGUUGCACAGGUGGUGCAUGGCUGUCGUCAGCUCGUGCCGUGAGGUGUUGGGUUAAGUCCCGCAACGAGCGCAACCCCUGUCCUUAGUUGAUUUUCUAAGGAGACUGCCGGGCGAAACCCGGAGGAAGGUGGGGAUGACGUCAAGUCAGCAUGCCCUUUAUAUCCAGGGCUACACACACGCUACAAUGGCCGGUACAACGGGUUCCGACACGGCGACGUGAAGGUAAUCCCUUAAAGCCGGUCUCAGUUCGGAUUGCAGGCUGCAACUCGCCUGCAUGAAGUUGGAGUUGCUAGUAACCGCAGGUCAGCACACUGCGGUGAAUACGUUCCCGGGCCUUGCACUCACCGCCCGUCACAUCACCCGAGUCUGGUGCUCCCGAAGUCGCUGGCCGAACCCGAAAGGGACGGAGGUGCCGAAGGAGUGCCCGGUGAGGGGGGUGAAGUCGUAACAAGGUAGCCGUACCGGAAGGUGUGGCUGGAUCACCUCCUUU